Long non-coding RNA from Rhodamnia argentea, 413 nucleotides. RefSeq lists it as uncharacterized. The record is from RefSeq and is a predicted model, not a curated record. The transcript is spliced from 2 exons. Lineage: Eukaryota; Viridiplantae; Streptophyta; Magnoliopsida; Myrtales; Myrtaceae.
GAGAAACAACCAAAAAACAGCAGAAACUGGUAAGAACACAAAUACUAAUGUAAAUUAUCAAGCACAUUGAAAUUAUUGAUCAAUGACUUUUCACCAUAUCUCAAACUUAGGUAUCUAUAUGAAUAUAGUUUCUUAAAUAAGCUCAAAAUUCCCAAUAUUCCACAGACAUCCCUUGGGAAGUUACUAAAUGACAUGCAAAUAUCAACGCGACCCCAGUCACUGAAGGAUGUUUCUUGCACAAAUUGAGACUCCCCAGCCAAGAAAGUCGAGUUUGAUUCCCAUGACACAUCAGUUUUAUGCAGUCAAUGGGAAAUUCUUUAGAUUUCCGAGCGCAGAAGUGGGUAUAUUCACAGCCCAACGAAUGCUUCUAACAUAAUACAAUCCACAUAGAGAACUCACGAAAAGAUCAAAAA